UUUUUUUUUUUUUUUUUUUCAAGUUUCUUAAAAUGGCAUGCGAAAAGUGUCUCAUGAUUGAGCAGACAAUUUGUGGUUCUCAAAGAUAGCACCAAUUUUUAAUGUACUUAGACCUUGUUGGACAAAGUUCAGCUACUCAAUUGUUUUGCCGCAUCUCAAAAGUGCAAUAAUGAAACGCAACACUCCAGAGAGCGUUCUUGGCUACAUUCAGUCGAACAAAGCCAUUUGAUUUCUCAAGCCGUGCAAGUUUCCUUCCUUUCUUAAAUAAAAGCUCAUUUUGAAAAGUUCUUGAGAUGCUAGACUUCUUGAAUGAUAGCCUUAAGUAGAAAACAGUAGAAAGAGUCAAAAAUCUUGAAGCAUGAAGAAUGGGGUAUACCAGGCUACUAAUAAAAAAUAUCGGCAUAGUCUAUAACCACAGAUUCAUGAAAAUGACAGUUGAUUUUCUCAAUUACUUAAAUUAUGGGAAAAUUACUUUGCUUGGAUAGCCCUUUUUUUUUUCUUGGGUAUCAUAAACACGUUUUCGAGUUAUCUUCUCAAUUUUUCAAUAACUUUUUAUUUUAUAUACAUCUUAUCACAAAAAUAUUAUAAUAUUAUGAAUUAAUCUUAUAUAUACUAUGAUAUCAUCAUUAGAUAUAUAAUAUAUGUGCAAAUUUUGAAUUUGAAAUUUAAAAUUUGCUCAUGUUUCAUUCAUCCAAUCGUGAUAAUGUAUACACUGACAGUAUAUAUAAAAUUUACUCAUAAUAUUUAAGCAAAUAAAUAAUCUUCAUUCCAAACAGAUACGACUCUGAACUUGGAACUCCUUAAAUUUCUCAAGCCAUGCAAGUUUCCUUCCUUUUUUCUAAUUAAAAACUCAUUUCAAAAAGUUUUUGUAAUGCUAGAGUUCUCGAAUGAUAUAGCCUAAAGUAGAAAGAGUGAAAAAUCUUAAUGCUUGAAGAAUAGGGUAUUAGGCUACUAGUCUAAAAUGUCUAUAUAGUUUUAGCAUUAGAUUCAUGAAAAUGAUAUAUAGUUGAUUUUGUCAAUUACUUAAGUUACGGAAAAAUUACUUUGUUUGGAUAUAGUUUUUUUUUAAUUCCUUUUGUUGUAUCAUAAACACGUUUUGAAACCAUCUCUUUAUUUUACAUAUAUCACAUCACCAAAAGUAUUAGAGUAUUAUUCCAAAAAAAAGAUUAAAUAAUCUCCAUUCCAAACAGAUAUGAAUCUGAGCUUGGAACUUCUUAAAUUUGCACGUAUAGUUUAUGUAAAACAUUGCGUUCCAGGUUGAGCAGCGAAAAGUAGUAUUAAUGUCUCUUUAUGUUUUGAUAAGAUUGAAAUGUCGAUGCAUGCAUCGGACAUUUGAAAAUCAGAUUGACCAAUUACUUGAAUGUUCUUGAUGCCAUUUUCAUACUUUAGGAAAUGGUCAUACGUAUUUAAACUUGUUCAGUGUUGGCCUUCUUUUGAUAGUUCAACCGCUCGCAAGUAUUUGUGAUGGACGUGGAUGGUUAGUUGAUUUGCUGGUAAUCUGAUUAAUUAGCCUCAUGGAGUCGUUGUCCAUCCUUAUCACUUCAAUCUAUUAUUGCUUUGGGUUUCUACUUUCUUUCUUGUUGUCUGCAGACAGAACGUUAAUUUCAUAAUCAUGUUCAGAGGUCAUGUGAAUAUUUUCUCUAGAAUCACGUACGAAAUCAACAAGAACAUGAGAUUAUCUUGCAAGAAAUGAACUUUUAUUCACAAGAAACUUUCCCAACUUUAUCAACAACACUAAAUACUUCUUGAAGAUUGAGGUGGUAGAAACGACUUGAAGGGUAGUUUUUCGUGUUGGGAAGUAAAUUAGAAAAAGGGUUAAAAAUAAAAAAGUCUCAUGUGAUAUACCUAAUAUACAGGAAAACCCUUUGUGGUUUCAAAACAGACAAAACGACAUCUCAUGUUUUAAACUAAUAGAAUUUGUUAAAUUUAACGAAAAUGACGGUCUCGACUGUUCAACUUACCGGAUUCCAUUAAGUUUACCGGAUUCCGUUAAAUUUAACGAAUUCUGUUAAUUUAUAAUUUAGUUCAAAACAUAAGAUGUCGUUUUGUAUGUUUUGAAAUCACGGGAGAUUUUUCUGUAUAUUAGGUAUAUCACACGAAACUUUUUUUAUUUUUAACCAUUAGAAAAACGUGUGAUGAUCUACACAUUCUACAUACACUUUAACAUCUGGUCAGAAAUAAGAUAAGUAACUUUUCUAAAGCAAAAGAGAUAAUAUGAUAAAAAGAUCAGACAAUUUUUUUGUAAUCCCGAAAGUUUGCAAUGAAACACAUGCAAAAUCAGUCUUAUCAAAUGUGUCCACAAUCUGCCAUUCUUCAGAAGUUUAUGCUAUUUAAAUUGCUCUCUAGAAUUCCUCUGGCCAAAAUUUUAUCUAACUCUUCCGUGGGAGAGAGUCCAGAUAAUUUUAUCUAGCCUUUCCUCAUGGAAGGGAGUGCUCUUUCUAUUUUUGUUUUUAGUUUGUCUUGUAAAAAUAAAUUCUCUCUUAGGGUUUCUUAGUGAUAGAUUCUUCUUUUCUAAAAUCUCUCAAUAAGAGUUUCUUCUCUUCUAAAUUGUUCUAGUGAGAGUUUAAUUCUCUCUUAGGUUUUUCCUUGUAAGAGUUUUGUUUCAGUUUUUAUCCUUUUUUUUGUCAAUUUUGAGAUUUCUCUAAUUUUCUCCGUUUAUUAUUGUCAAAUCUAAACUUUUCUUUUCUUUGAAUUUAAACCAAUGUUUAAUUAGAUCUAACUGUUAGAAAAUAUAUACAUAUCUAUAGAACUACAAUGAUUCAUCUAGAUGGAGGAUAUGUUGGAACUUAUCAUUAUUUGUAUUGAAUUUUCAGAUCUGUUGUAUCUAUUGAUUUUAGAUUUGUACCUGUGUCAUAUUUGAUUUGACAUAUUUUUACCAUUAGUGCAAAUUUAUUGAAUGAAAUGAUCUUUCUAUUAAAAUUCUCCAACUAAUUAACGCAGGUAGAAAUCUUGGUUGUAUUUGGAUGCACUUUAGAAUGAAGUUAUUGUAGUCUUUUUUUUUCCCUAGAAUUAUAAUCAUCUAGCUGUACUGCAUUCAUUGAAAAACUUGUAGAUUCUAUACUUAAUGAUUUAUAUUGCUUAAAUAUAUUAAAUGACACUUGUGCAUAUCCUAAAGUUACUUUUUUUUUUCUUGGCAGUCUUUUGAAGGCUAGGAACAAUACCAAAUAUCUGAUGUGAGACCAGCUUUUGGGUUUGAUCAAUAUUUCUUUACGCGCUAGAUUGACAAAUAUUUUUUAGAGUUCAACACUUAUAAAAGUGUUUAAAAUUCAGGAGAUGAAAAUACUUAAAAUAUAAUGAUAAGAAGAUAGGAUAACAAUAAUCUUGGAAAUUCUAAUAAUGAAGAGUGAUCUAUAAUUCUUAAAAUCAUAGCGUCUAUAACAUUUCUAUUUUUUUUUAUAAAUAAAUACAUGGGAGUUAUAUAUCACGAAGGAUACAAGCGAAAUAAGUGUAAAACGUAUGGAAAACAAUGGACUGCAGCGUGAAGUCACCGAGACGAGACCAGGGGCAGGGACGGUCAACAGAGAAAUCGUUGAGAUCGAUUUUGUGCAUUUUGCAUAAGAUAUAAUUUAGUUUACACACGAUUUAAUUUAUUUUGUAUAAUGUGUAAUUCAGAACAAAAUUUUGUGAAUUCCAUAGAUGAUAUAAAAAAUAAUGUAUAAGCCAUAAGGUAAAAUCUGAAUCUUAAAAUUUUUUUUGGAUCAAAUCUUAGCCAUUUGCCUUUCGGAACUUCCGGCCCCAUUUCCCACCAGGAUAUAUGAUGCAAUUCUGUCCUUGAGAAAAAUGACAAGUUCAUGCCCCAUCACUAGUAGUUUGGAUCGUGUAAUUCCUGAUGCCAUAAGAUGAGGCGUUGGUUGAACUGUGCUUGCCGGCCGACAUGUGUGAGUGGCGACAGAAUGAAACCGUGUUGUUUUUCCAAGUCAAGCCAUGAAUGCACAAAGUCUUCUCACAUCGAAUCUUUUCCUACACGAGUUACAAGAGAUUUUUUUCUCCCCUACCUCGCUCUAGAAACUAGUAGAUACUAAUUCUAGUCUCAAUAAUUUCCUUUGUCUCUUAGCUCAGUGGACGAAUUUCACUUCACGCUGAGAAGACUAGUGGCUCAAAAUAAGAAGAGUUUUACCCGUUUGGAUUGUUAUUUUUCUAAAGUUUUUAUAAAAAAUUAUAUAUUUUUUAACGAGUUGAUGUAAAUGAAAUAAAAAAUAAUUAAAAAAUAUAUUUAUCAAAAAUAUAAAACCAGUGGUGUAUUGCGACCAUGACCCAGCAAGUUAAAUUUAAAUACAGAACUUUGAAUAUAUCUUAUGUACACAGUGUAUAUACUAUCACCGUUUGAUUCAUGACAUGUGUGUACAAGUUGAAUUUCAAAUUUAAAUUUUGUAUAGUUAUCAUUCAUUCAAUGCUAACAGUGUAUGCACUAUCAAUGUAGUGUAAAAGAAAGAUUAAUCCUAAAACUUUUGCCUAAGAAAAGGGUUUAAUUAUUGUAAAGUGGGUUUUGACUUUUCUUAAAGGAAAUGGAUGUCGUUUUGAAUAUUUACUUUUAAGUAUGGCAAAUUUGUAAAAGUAGAUGUUACAGCGACUCGUGUCAGCCGGCAGCUGGUAGCUUUUUUUUCUUUUUGUUUCUUUUAUCAUUUUGCCUUUUGUUGCUUUCAGUUCAUCUGUGAAAUCCUUUACAGUGGAGAGGGGGUAUCAAGAGAACAAGAGUUGAAACUUUUAUAAUAACAAUUUUUUUUCCUAGGGUAUUAUUACUCAGGUUGGGAUUCUCAUCAUUAGAAUUAGAUUACUCUUCAUUGAACUUUCUCUUCAUUUAUUUAUAUCUAAAUUACUAUAAUUUUAUAAAUCAUCUAAUUAUAUCAAUUACUUUUUUUAAUAUCUAGAUCAACAUAUUAAAAGAUGAUAUUCUUUUUCAAAAAUUUUGACAUUCAAUUUCGUGUGAAACAUUUGAAUGAUGAAAAAUAGGUCCAAAUUAUAAUAAAAUUUCUAAUGAUUAACCAGACGGCAAAAUUUCACCAAUUUCAUACAAAGUUUUAUGUAUAACUAACACAAGCGAUGAAAUAUACUCCCUCCGUUCCACUUUGAUAGCCCUGUUUUCCUUUUUCAUUCGUCCCAAAUUGUAGUCCACUUUCCAAUUGAAAAAUAUAGUUGUAUUUUAAUUUUUCUAAAAUACCCUUAUUCAAUGUAAGUUGUUGUUACUACAAACCUACUCCAUUUAACGAGAGUUGAUUCUUUUUUACUAUCAAUUCAAUUUUUUAUAAAGUUGUACUUUAAUUAAUGUGAGGGUAUUUUAGGAAAAUAGUUAUCUAAAUUGAUUGUUCCAACAGAGUUAACUACUUUUUCUUAAACUGUGUUAAAAAGAAACCAGGACUAUCAAGGUGGACGGAGGGAGUAUUAUGAAAGCUACUGAUUUUGGAAGAUAAUUUUUAAAUUAAUUUAAUUGUCUUGUAAUGAUACAAUGGAGAGGGACCUAGUCCAUUGGACUCAACUCUAAUUAAACAUUUCAAUUCCCAACAUAAUCAUGUGCUUUUUGUAUUUGGCAAAUGACAUAAUAAUCCCAUUAUAAGACAAGAUCCGAAAUUAUGGCCCUAUCCUAAUUUGUAAUAUAUACCUUUUUUUACCACCAUCAAAAGAUCUAAAAUCUAUUUGCAAAAGCAAACAGGAGCAUAAAAAAAUUAUCAUCCAAAAUUAAGUGAAAUAGAGCCUAUUAAGUUUUCAUUUGAAUGCCAACAGGGAGCAAUUGUAGAUAUAUUGAUGAAUUACGAUAAAUUUAGCCACCAUUGACAACCAAAAAAGUGAAAAAUAAGUGCCAUACAAAAGAAAGGGACUGAUAAUUACAAUUCGCCGCAAGUACAAGAUUUCAGAUGGGCAAAGACGGGGCAGCGGUCCAGGAAUAGUGGACCACCGUCGAGAGUGUUAGUCACUUGCCAUAGAUCAGUCCACAAGGGUAGAAAGCGAUGAAGAUUUAAUUGAAGGCCCAGCUUGAAACGAGAAAGCUUGCGUGGUCCACUCUGCCUAGUCCAGUCCGUCCCACCCCACCCAAGAGAAAGGAAAGGUGCGUGUGGCUAAACCCUCCAGUCACGUGCAUGCUUUUGGGACACAGAGAAUCAUGAGAAAAGUUGAUCUUGAUGCGCCACCAACAGCUCAUGGGAAAAUCAUCUGUGCACCAUACCCCUUUCAAUUCCAAAAGUAGAAAAUGAAAUAAAUUUUGCACCCUACAAAAAUGAAACAGAGGCAACCAAACAUGGUAAAAAAAAAAUCUACCUACAAAAUAGUGCUCAGUCAACUUUUGAGUAUGUGUGUAUUCGCACCUUUUUGUCUUUUUAAGGAAAGUUCGUGCAUACUCGUUGAUACUCAAGACCACGGGCAGGCAACCGGGCAGAACGGCUGCAGGUGCAAUCGUUUCUGACGAUUUUGUGUAUUUUGUAUACCGCGUAAUUUUGUUUGCACAUGAUAUAACUUUGUUUGCAUAACGUGUAACUUUAGAACAAAUUUUUAUGAACCCCACACACGUUGUUAAAAACGAUGUAUAAUAAGUGAUUUGGAUCGUACAAUUUUUUUGGACCAAAUCCUGACCGUGAACUGUUCAAUGACGGUCUUUCUGAUGACCGUCCCUGCCUCGUCUCCACUUUGAGUUGCAACAAUUGACACUUUCCCUUUUUUUUUUUUUUUUUGAAAAAAGUUUUGAUGAGUUCGGCUCCGAUUACCACUAUCGGUUAGGUUAGGCCUCCGAGACCAUAGGUUGCUUACAAGAGGCACUUACAAAUCACUCACCAAUACAACUCUCACAUCGAUAAUGAGAUUCGAAUACACAAUUUUUUGUGAGAAAGUGGUCUGUCCUUACCGAAGAGUCAAUAACAAUUGAGACUUUCCUGCCAGUUCUAUUUUUUUUUUUUUUUUUGACAUGAGGAAAAGAACCCUCCAAUGAUAUCAGGAAAAUUGGAAUUUGCAAACAAUGGACAUGAGAAAGGCAUCUUCAUGGUUUGGAAACUUGAUGAUUUGACACAUAAUCAAGGAAAAAGAAUGCAGGGUUCUUCAGACUUCGCAAUUUGAGAAGUGUACGAGUAUGCAAUGUAUGAUUUUUUUUGCGUGAAAGGUUGUGUCUACGCGACAAAUUGUGAAAAUCUAUCACUUGUUUAACAUUUCAUUUGUCUACUUACAAUCAAUCAACAACCUUUCUCUUUCUUCUCUCUCCCUCUUGAUAAGCUGUGUGCUUGCCCCACUCCACUCUGUAAUGCUUAACUGAAAUCAUAGCCAGAAAAGAGGCUUUGAACUUCAAUGCAUGGGGUAUGCAACAUUACCUGCUAGGUAUGGCGUUUAUGAUUUAACAGGCAAAUUAACUUUUGAUUGCAAUAGUUUUUCUCCUUUCGGACUCCUCCAAUUCUCUCCACCUAUUUGCCUUUCACGAAAAUCCAACUGUAACUGACUGUGGUCUGACCUCUGUCGUCUAUCUAAGAAGAACGGAAUGUUAUAUGAGAUACUUAAAUCUCUGGGACUAAAGGAUUUUUCACUUGCUUCUUUUUGCAGGGGAUGUAAUUAGUAAGGAUGAUAGGAGCUGUUCUUUUUGACGUCUCGGAAGCAGUAAAUUGUUAAAGAGUUUGCAAAGAAAAGAAAUCUCUUUUCCGGUCUUGCAAUGCCAGUCCCUCUUGCUCCGUAUCCAACACCUCCUGUUCCAUUUACACCACCUGCAACUGGUAUGGUAUCAUAUCCAGGAGCAUUCAUAGUCUGCAAGAGACUUGAAUGGACAUAUGCUGCUUUGCUGCAUAGGAUAUUGAAACAUGUUUUCUUGAAUUGCUUAUGUUGUUUAAGUUAAAAAGCUAGAUGGAAUUUGUGACUUCCAUCAUUUUUCACUUUCAUAGCCACCUACCGAUAAUUCAACUGAAGGAGUUUACUGCAGAGAAGCAUCAGAUUUUGUCAAGUCAAGCACUUGCACUUGAAGAUAGAAUUUUUUUACACAAAUUCAGCCUGUUGAAUACAAACAAGAACAGUAAAUUAAGGCAAAAGAAAGCAUUCUUCAGAUUGACAAUAAUAAUCAGUAUUCAAAAGGUUUUUGCACUUAUAGCAAUUUUGGAACAAUAAAUUUUUCUGGUUUUUGUUCUGUAACUUCACAAAUUUGUAUGGUUCUACAAAAUGAUUUGACUUCAAAGCUUCCUGUCACCGUGAAAUUUUUUGUGCAUCUCUUAAGUAGAAUUCACCUGUCUUAUGAUAUGUUGCAUAUAGUCUCUGAUCCUCAAUAAGUUUGAUGGUUAUCAGGUGCACAGAGCCAGCUUGUUUGUUCUGGUUGUCGAAACCUUUUGGUGUAUCCGGUAGGAGCAACCUCUGUGGUGUGUGCAGUUUGCAAUGCAGUCACAGCUGUACCUCCUCCUGGUAUACUUGCAGUGACUCCCCAACUCAUACCUCUCAAUUUUCAUUCUAGUUAAAAAGCUAACAAAUUUAGGAGGGCUUUUCUCAGUAUCGAUUUUCCUUUAGCAGGCACUGAGAUGGCUCAGUUGGUUUGUGGGGGCUGCCAUACUUUGUUAAUGUAUAUUCGUGGAGCAACAAGCGUGCAGUGUUCUUGUUGUCACACCAUCAAUUUAGCAAUGGAAGGUAAAUUAAGUGAUAGUAUGGUUUUCUGAAGAUUGUAACAUCAUUAAUCUGAGAUAGCAGCAGUUAAGUAUCAUGUGUAUUUUAUGGCAGCAAAUCAGGUAGCACAUGUCAAUUGUGGGAACUGCCGGAUGCUGUUGAUGUACCAAUAUGGGGCGCGAUCUGUAAAAUGCGCCGUCUGCAAUUUUGUGACAUCAAUUGGGGUCAGUAUAUAUUUUGUUUAACCAGCUUUUACAAGUUUAAAUCAUAAUCAUGGUAGGUAGAUAAAUUUCAGGAGGAGCUAAAAAGAAAAACUUGAUCAAAUUGUAAAGCUAUCUGCAGCAUAAUGCAGAUUGCAGUGUAUCCAAGUCCCAGACACUGUGAGACAAGAGAUGCCUACUAAUUGUGCAGCUGGACACUGCAGAUGCACAAUAGUUGGAUCAAAUGAACUAGGAGCAAAAGAUUAAGUUGGUUGAAUAUCAGAAGAUGUUCUAGCAAACUCUUGCUGUUAACAGUUGCAAAAAAUUUUACUUUCCUGAUUAUCCUCCACACAAAUUAUUCAGUUAACCAUAAGCCAUUCACAUUCUUGAUCCCAAGAAUGUCAUAUGGUUCAAUAAAUGAUAAUCAUCAGUCAUCCGCUGAUUAUCAUGAUUGCAAUUAUUGAUCUCUCACUUAUAAGGCAUAAGGGAACUUCCCAGAAAGUAACAUUUGACAUUCUGGCGGAAACACCUUAGUAAGCUCCUCCUCUUCCCAACCUUCUUCACAUGUGCCAAACAUCCACUCUCUGAAAACAGCAAUUUUGCCCUUUCUUUUUCCCCUCUUGAGUUCCUUGGAUCUCUGACCAGCUUGCAUUCUGGAAUGGCCCGUACACUUUGUUAAGUACUAUGACUAGAUUAAAACUUAGUUAAGCACUUUGAGGAUAUAUGUUGGUGGAGGAGAGUAAUAACUUUCAGCAUUGUCACAUGUAGAUAAUGGAACCCUAUGCUAAUCUUAAUACAAAAUAAUCAUGUCCACUGUUUCAACUACAUGUAACAAAUUUCCAUUGAACGACAGGCAUCAGCGAGCACUAUUGAGCAGAAGUUCAACAGCUGAACUCUGAAGUUUUCUGUUUCAAUACCACAAUAUAUUGCCAUUUUGAAGAGCUGCCAGAAACUGCAAAAUUCCUGGAAGCAGAGAAAGUAUAUUUCUGCUGCAUUGUAUAGAGUUCUUUUUCCAUCGCGUGAUUUUGAUAUGAAUAAGCAAAUUUUCCUGCGUAAAUGCACAAGAUUAUUAUCUAUGAAUUUUAGGUUGCUAGCGUUGUUUCAAAUUAUUGGAUAAGAAAAACAUCAUUUUCUUCUAGUGCUUCUUCUAAUUGCAUCAAGCACACGACAUCAGGCUGUAUAUUUCACUUUAUCCAUCUUUUUGAAUUGUCAGUGGGAUGCUGAAAUUAAAUGCUUACACCAACAUAUCAAUCUCCAAAAAUUGAGUUUUUCCAAUUGGAUAAUCCUGAAGAUAGGAAUCGGGUCAAAUGUUCCUGGUGAAAAAAGUUGGAUGCCUGAAAUUAUCCACAUGGGAUGUCUCAUCAAAAAUUAGACCUGGUCUCCUAGCAGGUGAUUGUAAUACCAGUUCAAAACCAAUGGGUCCAAUGGCCAGGGAGAAUCUCUUUAAAGCUCUCUUGUGCACUAGAUCGAAGGCUCAAAUCCCGCCUAAUGCAUCUCAAAGAAGCACAGUCCAUUCUUAAAAUAAUCUAAAAAAUGUAGUAGAUCCUCUAAUCCCUAUACAAGUCUCUUUAAAUUUCCACUUCCUAUAGCCUAGAUUAGUAUAGGAAUAUGAUAGAUGUUACUGUUUGCGGGGAAAAAAAUACCACUUCAAAUGUUACUUUUCCAUACUUUACUGUUCUAAUGUGGUAUUUUACUGUGGUAAAAAUUAAUUGUUCAUCGUAUAGAAAAUCUCCCACGUAAAAGUAUAGAAAGAGCAAAAGACACGGGGGCUCAGAGAGAAAACAAGAGUCGUUGUUUUUCUCCUUUUCAAAGUAAGAGUCAUGACCCUCCUCGAAUUGUUUCUUUCGAAAAUGCCAAUCAAGCGAGAAAACUAGCCGUCUCCGUUUUCUUCUCCUAGUGCAAGAGACAAAUCAAAUCGUCAAAACAAAUAUGGAGCUCCUAAGUAAAAGGGGGGGGGGGGGGGGUUAAUUCCAAUUUGUCCUCCCAAACUUUGGACGAUUACUCACUUCAGUCUCUAAACUUUAAAAUGGGACACCUAAGUCCCUAAACUUAUAAAUAUCUCCCACUUAAGUCCCUAAACUUAUAAAAUGGGACACUUAAAUCCCUAAACCCUUAUAAAAUGGGACACUUCGAUCACCAAGCAUUCAGGAUUUGUUAACAAUUUUCCUUAAGUGAGAGGUAUUUAUAAGUUUAGGACUUAUGUGUCCCAUUUUGAAGUUUAGGGAUUGAAGUAGGUAAUCGUCCAAAGUUUGGGGGGACAAAAUGGUAUUAACCCGUAAAAGGGUACUCCCCUUUCUUUUUGUUUUACGUCUCUCCUUUCCUAAUUACUACUAAAAACUAAGGAAGUUCCCAUAGAGGACAAAAGACUAGGUCGUUUCCUAAUAUCAAUUGGGAACAUGUUUCUUAGGUCUUCAGCUUAAAUUGGGAAAUCGCCACGCGGAUAAAUCUCGACUCUUCCAGACUUGGAGGCUAACUUAGGCGCGACCCCCGGAACGUCUAAGAAUCUUCAUUAAUCCACUUUUACCCCUUUUCUUGCUAUAUGCUUGAAAUUAGCAGCGGUUGUCAAAUAUAAGUAAAAUCCAUCCAAUAAUGCAAUAUUUGGCCAAAAUCAAGGAAAUAUAUUUACAAAUUCAAUAACAAUUAUACACCUUAUCAAUUUCUCUCACACUUAGCCCAUGUUUGCCCUCAAUCAUAAGAACAACAAAUCAAACAAUCGAGUUCAAACAAUAGUUAUCAUUCAAAUUAUCUAUAGUUGGAGUACAAUUAAAACACGUGUCAAGUAUUAGUAGCUAGCCUCCAAGAAAUAUCUCUUCAAUUAACUUUUAAAAUCAAAAACUUUUUCAAUUCUUGGCUAACUAAUUUAAAAAUAUAAAAUAUUUACCCAACAAUCAAUCGGCAAAUGAUUCGACUAUUAAGCAAAAAUUUCAACAUUAAAAUUUAUGAAUCAGCGGGCUAAUGUAACCAUCCACAUAUUUCCACUUUCAUACACAUUUUCACUUUCACUAUUAGCAUAACAUUUUUCUAAGAUGCCCCCUACACUUGAUUUUUCUUUGUUUUCAAUUUUUCAAGAGAAAUGCUUAGUUCUUAGCCAUUCAAACCGUUUGAUGCGAGCUCCGACAUCUACCAAAUGAAGGAAUUUGAUUACUCAUCUUUCAUUGCUUAAACACUAAAUACUCAUAACUAUCGCCACUUUUUGACACGAAAGUCAACACUUAUGGUGAAAACUCCUGGUUACUAGGUAAAAAAUACUAGUGAAGUAUAACCAAAUACUAUUCAAAAAUAAGUAAAAAAAUAAAAUUAAGCAUCACAAGUCUACUUCAUUUCUCAAACAUGGAGAAUUAAGAUUAGUAGUUGAACUAAUUUAUACGAAAAAUGUCAUACAAAUAUUUACAAUGCUUAGAGAAGUUAACCAAAAAGUACAAAAGUCACAAAAUUUUUAAUAUUCACCAAAGAGACAUUCUCAGAUUUCACUACGUCAUACUUGACACAUUAAAACAUAACACCUUAUAAUACCUUAGCAACGGUAAAAAUUUAAAAUGCCUAGCCAUUGAUGAUUACAAUUAGCCACAAAAAUGUACAAAAAUGAAAUGAAAUUCAAAAACUUUUAACAGAAAUUCCAAUAAAAAUGACUAAAAUGAAUAGUAUCAUGAUACUAUACCUCCCAUAUUUAAAUCUUACAUUGUCCCCAAUAUAAGCAAUAAAGAACAAAAGAAUCGAAAGGGAAUAACGAAACUUCCCUAAUCAACAAGGGGGCAUAACAACUAUGGGUAAGGGGCAAAAGAAGGAGUACAACGAACGGAAUGGUUACAGCGCUGACCACAAUUGACAAAGACAAGUGGCGGCGAUAACAUUCAAACUCGGCGACACUUUCCAAAUAGCGACAACAAGGAAUUCGUCGUUUGGAAUACAAGGUGGAGAAAAAAUUGAAAAGAAAGAAAGAGAUAAAUGAAAAAGAAAGAAAAGAAAAGAAGAAGAAUAAUUAGGGUUUUUGGGAAUUUUUUUUUGCCCUCUUGGCGUAACAAGACGCGGGCACAUCUUGUUGCGUUGUAGUAUUCUGAUCAUGGUUUUGAAAUUUUCACGAGAUUUAGUAUGUCCUUAAGACGUCGCCACAUGUUAUGUCUAGUUGUCUUCUGAAAUUGAAAUAUGAGUUUGUCAGUCAGUUAUGCGUAGGCACGCCUUGUCAGGUAGCAGUCUUCUAUUUACUAAAACAACAAAACAAAAAUCAAACACAUAAAAUAUAAGAAAUCUAAGAAAAAUAAUAAAAAAGUGAACUAAAAAGUGAAUUGAGUUGCCUCCCAAUAAACAUCUUUGAUUAGAUAUAAAACAUUAUUUCUCAAUCCGGUUGUAAUUUAAACUUUCUUGUAAUUGGUGAAAUUUCUUUAGAAUUCAAAUCACCAUUAUGUGCAAUCACCUUUUUUAACUUUUUAUCUAUUUUCACAUCAUAAGUUAUUUUCAACCCAUGACACUUGUCACAAUAACUUUUAACUUAUCCAUGCAAUUAUAUUCAGAAAAUUCUUGCAUAGAACGAUUAAUAGCAUAAAUGGCAAAUAUAGAAUGAAAGUUAAUAUGAUGUUUUAUAUUAUUAAAAAUAUUAAAAUGAACUAUUUCUCCAUCAAAUUCUAUCGUAAGAGUACUCUUACUAAUAUCAAUAUUAGUUUGGAUAGUAUUCGAGAAGAGUCUCCCUAAUAUAAUGAGUGAUGAAUUUGGAGAGCUUUUAAUAUCCAUGUAAAGCACAUAAAAAUUAGUAAAAAACUAAUCCAUCUACUUGAACUAAAAUAUCCUAAAUUAUCCUAUUCGAAUAAGCAAAUGUACGAUCAGCCAAUUAAAUUAUUACCCUUGUUACUUUCAAGGAUCCUAGAUUUAGGUAUCACAUUUAUAGAAACUCUUAAAUCUAGUAUGAUAUUUCUAAUUUUAGAAUUUUCUAUCUUACAUAAGAUAGUAAACAUACUUGAAUCCCCGUAUUUAGGCAGUAGUUUUCUUUAUAAAAUCAUUGAGACAUUCUCAUCUACUAUGAUUUCUCAGCCCCUCUCAAUUUUUUCUUGUUGAUGCACAAGUUCUUUAAAAAUUUAGCAUAUUUUGGGUAUUUGCUUGAUCGUAUCUAAUAAACAGAUAUUGAUUGUCACUUUUCGAAACACCUCUAAGAUCUCUUUUUCUUUAUCUUGCCUUUUUGGCUACUCCAACUUAUUUGAAUUAGUGAUGAUUAGUAUUAACUUUAAUUAAAUGAUCAGAAACUAUCUCAGGAGUUGUCUUGUUUAAUCCUUCUACUUCCAACUCCUUUUCAAUUUGAUCUUCGCUCUUAUCCUUCGGAACUGUAGGUUUUGGUCCUUCAAUUUCUUUCCUUUUUUUGAGGGUCAUGGCACUAACAUUCCUUAAAUUUACUUCAGGUUGAGAAGAAAAUCUUCCUUUCUCUUGAAACUCCAAACGAUUUAUUGCAGAUUUCAUCUGACUCAUCUGAUUUUGUAGAUUUUGUAUGCUUCGUCUUCUAUUAGAAUUGCAAGGUAUUCUACUGAAGUUACAUGGUGUUAAAAGCCAAUGCCUUGACCAUAUUCUUAAGAGAUGUUUCUGAAUUAGACGGAGAGAAUUGAGAUCUUGAUGGAUACUGUAGUUGAAACCUUUGCUGUCUAUCGGGAAAGAAAUCUUGCUGUUUAUUUUCCCCAUAAUGAAAUUUGGAUGGUACAUUCAAUACAAAUUAUACGUGUUAGAAUAAGGGUCGUACUGCCUACAGGCGUGAGCACGUUUUCAACUAUGUUCACUUGUUUUAGCAUUAUCAUCUUGUAGCAUCGGGCAUCCAUCAGUGGAAUGACUAAUAUCCUUGCAAAUUCUGCAUGUCUUGACUUACUGCAUGUUCCCCACUGCCAUCUGUCGAAUCAUAGAUUUUAAUUCAAACAAUUGCUAUUGAAUUAAUAAAACACUUAUCUCAUUCACUCGACGAGCAUGUACUUCAUCCCACAUGUCAAAUUGUUAAAAAUUUUCAAUCAUCUCUUCAAUCAAAUCUUAGGCUUCUUGAGGAGUUUUGUUCACCAAAGCACCUCCAUUUGUAUCAUCAAUGAUGUUUCUGUUUCUAUAGAGUAAGCCUUCAUAGAAGUACUGGACGAGCAACUGAUCACUAAUUUGGUGUUGCAGGCAACUAGAGUAUAGUUUCUUGAACCUCUCCAAGUAUUCGUAGAGGGAUUCUCCUAGUUGCUGAUUUAUACCACAAAUCUCCUUCCGUAGACUAGCAGUUCGAGAUGCAGAAAAAUUUUUCUAAAAUUUUCUCUUCAUGUUCGUCCAUAUGGUGAUCCUCUCCGCAGACAAGUAGUAUAACCAAUCUUUAGCAGCUCCUAUCAAAGAAAAAGGGGAGGCUCACAUCUUUAUCAGCUCUUCUAUAACAUUAGGUGAUUUUAUGCUCAAACAGACAACGGUGAACUCUCAGAGAUGUUUGUGGGGCUAUUUACCUGACAAAUCAUGAAAAUUAGGUAAGAGGUGAAUUAAUCCUGAUUUUAAUUCAAAUGUUACAUUUUCAACAAAAUUAGAAAAAGUAAUGUAUAAAAGCUGCUGAUUUAAAUUAGGAGCAGUCAACUCUCUUAAAGUUUUAUUAUUAUUAUUUGCCAUCAAAACUUCUUUCUACUCAGAAUCACGGAAAGAAUUCAAUAAACUAUCAAGUUAAGUCCUGGAGAUGUAGUAGAUGACUGCUCUUCCUUUCAUAUUCUAGUUUCUUUAUUAGUUUACAUGCAGUCUUCUCAACCUUGAGAUGAAAAUCAAAUCACCUAUAUGAAAAGAACGAGAUAUAAACUAGAAAAAUAUUAGAAAUAAAAUAAAAUAAAUUCAAAAAGAAACAAAUAAACAAUGUCAAUCCCUAACAAUGGCGCCAAAAAAUUGACAGAUAUCGAACCUGUGCAAUAAUAAAUUCCUACUCAUAAAAAUAUAUAAACGAAUAUAAUGACAAAUAGUGUCGUCUCCACAGGGAUUAGAAAAAAAUUAGUUUUCUUCCAAGUAAAAGCCAACUGGGAGAUUUUGAAAAAUUAAAAUUAAAAUAUAAAAUACUCAAAUAAAUAAAAAUAAUUAAAUAGAAGAAAAUUAAAUUUAAAUCAAGAAUAAAUAAGUUCUAACCAAAGAUAUAAUUUUGAAAAUGGUUCAUAUAAUGCUCAUUGAUGCAAUAAUUAUUUAUCUAUUUGUUAAUAAAUAGGUUAUAAAUGCCAAACACGCGAUAACAAUCUACCUUUAUUGUUUCUGUUUCAUAAUUAAGGUACGCCUGUUAACUAUUUUUCGAAUUAAAAAACAAUUCUAGGUACGCUCAUAGAAUUUAAUUUCUUGAUUGCAUUAGAAACUAGAAAAUUUUGUUCUAAUUAAUAAAUGCACUACCAGAGUUUAUUUAAAUUAGAUCAUAUGUUCCCUAACAUGAAAACCAAUCAUGGUAGUCGUCACUAAUUUAAGACAAUUAAAUAAUUACGGAUUUAACUAUCUUAAUUGACAAUAGUUUGUUUAAGUUGAAUUAAAUAUCGGACGUCCUUGAUAUUCAAACAACAAAAUAAUCAUGAAAAUCAAAUCAAAAACUUAUGAAUACUAACGAAUAAAAAAAAAAACAAUUAGAUCUCACAAUUAUAAAUAAAUCAAAUCCUUCGUCAUCUCUUGACUAGAAAAGAAAAUUAAUUGUUCAUCGCGUGAAAAAUCUCCAACGCAAAAGUAUAAAAGAGCAAAAGACCUGCGGUUUAGAGACAGAACAAGAGUCAUCAUUUUUAUGCUUUUCUAAGUAAUAGUCACGACCCUCCUCGAAUUAUUUUUUUCAAAAGUACUAAUCAAGCGAGAAAACCAGCAGCCUCCGUUUUCUUCUCCUAGUGCCGAGACUAGUCAAAUCUUCAAACAAAAACAAAACUCCUAAGUAAAAGGGCACUCUUCUUUCUUUUUGAUUUUCGUCUUUGCUUUCCUAAUUACUACUAAAAACUAAAGAAGUUCCCAUAGAACAAAAAACUACGUCGUUUCCUAAUAUCAAUUGGGACAUGCUUCUUACGUCUUCAACUUGAAUUGGGAACUGCCACGCACAUAAAUCUCGACUCCUUCGGAUUUGGGGCUAACUUAGGCGUGCCCCACGGAAUGGCUAAGAAUCUUCAUUAAUCCAUUUUUAGUUUUUACUCCUUUUUCUUGCAAUAUUCCGGAAAUUACCACGCGUUGUCAAAUAUAAGUAGAAUCCAUCCAACAAUACAAUAUUUGACCAAAAUCAAGGAAAGAUAUUUAUAAAUUUAAUAGCAAUUACACACUGUCACAUCUUCCAUUCUCAAUCUCUUGAUAUCCCUCAUGGAUACUACUUUGACCACAAGAGGGUUGCUACAAUUCUAAGGCCCUGUUUGAUAAUCCAAUGUAGCACUUAAAUUUAAUGGAUUCAAAUAUUAAUAUAUUCAAAUCGUUUGAUAAUAAAAAAUUGAACAUAUGAAUUAAUUAAGUGACACUGAAUUUUCUAGGCAAAACUUGGUUUCAAAAUUAAGUGAUAAACUAUUCACUUAUCGCUGAAUAUAAUAUACACUCAAAUGUAUUAUAUUUAAUACGUCAUAAUUCAAUAAUUUAAUAAUUUUAGAUUUUAGAUUUCAAAUUUCAGACUUCAGUUUUAUUAUCAAACGCACCCUAAGUAUGACCAAACGAAAAUUGACCUAAUUAUUGUAAGAAAAUUGACCUCUUGACAAGAAGGAGGCAUGCAAGUAAUUUCAAUAUGAUUGCGAAAGAAGUAAAGGGGUGAACGAGAAACCAGACAAGCAAAGAUCAUCCAAUGCCCGACAAAAUGUCUCAGCUGACCUUUUACCAAAGCCAGAUUCAUUUUGAGGAAAAUUUCAAAUAUGGACCACCACCACAAGUCCUAGUACAGGGGUUACCUUUAAUAAGAUAUUGUCAAUUUAAAAAAGAGCUAUAAAUGCAACAUAUUUAUCUUUCCAACUGUGAAUAAAUAACAUUACCCCCUCACAUCUUCGACAAACCAUGUGAACACUUGGCUGACUUUGAACAGCUAUCCAAUGGUAUUAGAAUUCAGUGUCAAGAACUAGGACUACUGCCACUUUUGUCAUGAGACCCUCCAGUCCCCAAUGGGGGCCUAAUGAUAUUUUUGUCCUUGUCGUUCCUUGGAGUCGACUCAUUAAAUGUUUUCUUUCUUUUAUUUUGGCCUGUAUGUUGGUAGCCUGACAGGGCCUGCUGGUUUUAGUGAGCACUGCCCUUGCACAAGCUCCUCUUUUUAUCGUGCAAGGUCUAACAAUUCUUUUUUCUAGAAAAGAAAAAGAAAGAGAAAGCUUAUCUGAUCCCCGAGAAAAAGGCAGAUCUGCUUUGUCAAUUCUCAUAAGAUCAGAAGGAUUAAGAUUCUUAGGAAUGUCAUUCCUCAUUAGAAGGACUUUUUAAGGCACAAACCAGAUCAAGAAAGCUUUCAACUGCAGUUUAUGAUACCGUUUAAACAUUUUUUUUUAUCACAACCACUCGUUCCCCGAAACAUUUCAGCAAUAUUUCUUUGAAUUAUGCUGGAAUCUUCGUUUCUCUGCAGUAAACAGCAUAUCGAUAUAAUAUCAACAGUAAUUCUCUAGUGCUAUAGAAUGCGCAUCAAUCUUCUACAAUUAACUCACAAGGAGGUCCACUGGUGGAAGGUGAAAUGCAGUUGACAUGCGACAACCGGCAUAGAAUCAUAGACUACACAAAGGACUGCAUCAUCAGCAAGAAAACUUCAAGUUUCUCAUUGGAUCAGGAUGCACGAGGGUUAACGUUCAUAUCCAAAACAACAGGCCGGGAAGAAGAAACUUAUAUCAUGGCCAACUAACUUAAUUAUGUUACAUCAAAAUUGGGACGAGAGAUUAGUACAUCCACACAUUCCAUCAAACCUUGCUUUGAAAGGGACGGAAGACAGCUUAUUCAUCUCCCAUGGCUAGCUCCAAGGCAUAGUCAUCCCUUUCCUGCAGCAAGAAAAGCAAGGUGGUUAGUCCUCAACUUUAAUGUUCUUUUUCUUUGUUCCCAACAAAUGACAUCUCUUUGCAAUUGAUCUACAGGAUGCAUAAGAGAACUUACGACAGGUCCUCGGGCAAAAUAUCUUCCGAAUUGAAGCCAGUACACCUACACAGAAUAGCAUUAUUAGUUCCACAUUAGGAAUUAGAUGAGCUAAAGAGCAUUUGACAAAUUUGUUGAGCAAGAACUUCAGCCACAAAUGAGACUGGGUUCUGAUAUAACAACCCCCCACACCAUUUUUCUUUUCCUGAUUGUUUUUUUUUUUCUGAAUCAAAACUCCACUUGAUCUAUUUAUCUUUGUCAAACUUGCUAAGAGAGAAUAACCACACUGAGCAUAAAUACCACUACAUGAAAACAUUCUUUUUAAAAAAAUCUAAUUUGACUGCGGAAAAUUGGGGCCAAUUCUUGUGUCAGUGGAUAGCAGAAUGCUGGUUAUGCUUUUCAAGAAGAACAUAACUUCGUACCAACUAAAAAAAAACUGUUUGUGCACAAUGUCAAUCACUUACAGACAACAAAUCCAGUUAAGAGGGCGCAACACAGAGAGAGAGAGAGAUAGAGAGAUUCCAGAAUGAAGUUUGACUCCCAAAAGCUAAAAUUCAAGUCAAAAUGAUCCUAGGAGAGUUUGACACUGAACACCAAGCAACAAAUUACUCCUAAAGAAACAAUUCUCCCUCAACAUUUGAAGCCUUCCUGCAUCAGUAAUUAAUGCUCUUAAGCUUUUCAGAAACAAUUCUUUGAUUUAUGCACUACCUUAAAGAAUCAUAGAUAGAUUCAAUGACCUAGUAAUCUACAUUACCUCAUCCUCAUCUUGUGUUUCAACUUCAAGGUCAGAUGAUGGAAACCCACACAAAGAAGUGCAUAACCCUGCACACAAAGAAUUUAACAUCAAUGCAAGAAUUGGUGAAAUCAUUAUCUAUAGUUCUAUGAAUGUGUGAUAGCGCUUUGACGUCAAAUAAGGACUGACUUGGUUUGAAGCAAAAAGAGAUGAAGCACUAAUUAGUUUGAAAAAAUACAUAUCUUUGGAAACCUUUGAAGCGAAUGAAGCACUAAUUUACAAUCUGGACAGAAGGAAUAUCUUGUAAGGAUCAAAUUACCUUAGAUUUCAGUUCCGCUGAUAUCCCGAGGGCCUCUGGUUGUCUAAGUUGCCCAGAUUUUACGCGAACAGCACAGCUAGUACAACAACCUGCCAGACAAUGAGUUUUUACAAUUAUAUGAAAUGAAAAAGAGAUGCCUUAAUGUGUCUCAAAGUUCUACAAUUUAUUGGGUUUAAUUCAUGGAUUAAUCUUCUAUACAUUGACAGUGUAUACACUUUCACCAUUGGAUGCACAUGACACAUAAUCUGAAUUUGAAUUUCAAAUCUAAAUUUUGCAUACACAUCAUGCAUCCAACCAUGAUAGUGUAUACACUGUCAAUAUAUAUAAGAUUGUCUCUUAAUUCAUGCCAAAACACACCAAAACAAUAAUAUAAAAAUCAGACAUGCAGGCACAAAAUCGCAUACAAAAUCAAAAAGCAAACCCCACAUAUGCAAAGAGUCUAAUACCAAAUCAAGAUAGGGACAACAGAAGCCCCACAUAGUUUAGUUAUAUUUGUGGAACUGGGGGACUGAUCAGCCAGAAUUCACACGUAUAGGAUAUAGCCAUCAUAUUGGCCUUCAAUUUUCAUUUCUAUGCAUCAUCUCAUUCCCCGGAACCACAUAGUAACAACACAAAGUAAAUCUUUUCAACGCCAGACAAGAGGAACUAAUUCCAACCUUUUCAGCAUAAAAUUUCAAAUAUGUUAAAUCAUAAUUUAUGCGAGUGAAACAAACAAUUUUGCACCCCUACCCUGCAAAAGAAAAAAGAAAAUCAUACAGAUAAUGAGUGCAGUGUAGGUGGACACAAAAAAUGGAGAAUGAAGAGAAUGAUCAGCCAGAAUUCACAAUAAAAUGCCAUCAUAUCGGCUAUCAAACCGAUAAAAAAAUGAUAACCAUCAUCUCAUUCUCUUAACUCCAUCCACAAUAUUAAUGUAUCUUACAUAAGCUCAAUUAAGCUCGAUUGAGCCCAACUUGAGUUGAAAAAAGAAUCAAACUCAAGUUCAAGAAAAGAUUGUAUUCAAGAUCAAGUAACAUCACUCAAAUCAAGAUCACACAAGUCGAGCUAGAUAUUAUCAUAUACUUUAAGCACUGAGCUCGAGCUUAUCUUCAGAUAUUUGUUCAAGCUCAAGCUCAAAUUAAAGCACAUAAAUUUUGUGUCGACCUUGAUUAGGCUUGAAUACACCCCUAAUUAGUUAUUUAAUAAUCAUUAACUAAAAGUAUUAGUAAUCAAAAAAUAAAUAUAUACCGUGCCUGCAAGCAAAUGGAAGACUUAUAUUCUGCGAUUCAGCCGUAUGCAAUAUAUACUGCGUCCUGCUCAAAAUCCAUAGUACUACUAUAAAUAAGUAAAUUGAACAAAUAACUCAUAUAACUAAACUCAAAAGGGGAGAAAAAAAAAAGAGAAAGAGAACAAACACGCUAGAAUGCGUGAGAUAAUGUACCUCGGGGACGAAGAAUUCGUGAACGAUAUCACGUUGGCGGUCAUGAACGGUGACCUUGUGGGACGGGACUGACAGGGAGCAACUGCUGCUACCGUUUUGGCCGGUGACCGAAGCAGGUGGCGUGCGGAGCUCCGACGUCGUUUUGCUGCUGCAUCGGUGUUUGGGGUAAUUUAGGUGAGGUGCGGUGUGAAGUCGGUGGCGGUGGAUAGGCGGUAGCCGGGGAAAGAGAGAAGAAGAGAUGGCGACAUGUUUUGUUAUCUGCCUCUUUUCCUGUCCACUCGAAUUAACGGAAAAACGGGACGUUAUAACUCGGUUACGUCGACUGACUUACAGUAACGCUUGGGAGAAUAUUUAUGUUGGAGAACUACCAAAGGGAAAAAAUUAAAAUUGAGUCCUCAUUACAUCAAUUAAAGAUAUAUAUAUAUAUUUUUUAGAUGUUUCGCAGGGAGUGGACCCUGCAGAUUAUUCCCUACCCUCCACAACUUGCUGGCAAUAAAGUUCGAAUCAGGGACUUAAGGCUCCAUCUUCAACAAGAGACUUAAGACUACAUCUUCAACAAUCUCAACCGCCAGACCAAACUCCGGAGGGUAUCAAUUAAAGAUAUUAUCCUAUAUAGAGGCAAAAAAAUGUAUAUAACUCUUUGGGGGCUUUUUAACCUUUUCUAAGUGCACUUUUCUUUCAAACAAAACAAGCAAAAACUUUUCUAAGUGCACUUAAUCAAAUUUUAAUAAUAUAAAAAUAAGGUAAAGAAAAGAUAUGGGAAUCGUUACAACUUACCACCCAAAUCCUAGACACUUGUUUUGAACAAGAAAGAACAAUUAGCUCAUGACAGCCUAUUUACCUUAAAAUUGGUUACAAUAAUUAGAUAAUAGAUUAUUGUUUGCAAAAAUUUAUGUACCUUGGUCUAUAGCCCGAUAAGCAGAUGUAUACCGAUUAAGUUGCACUUAAUACUAAUCAUGUGGUGAUACAAAUAAUAGUAGUGUCAUUUUGAUUUUCUUACAUUAUCAUACAUCACCUACUUUUGCUUGUCUUACAGCAACAUAUAUCAUCAUACAUAACUUUAGAUCACUUUUCUUACAUCAUUAUAUAUCACCUACUAUCAUCACUUUUCUUACAUCAUGGUAUAUCCAUCUAGCAGCCACCAUCACUUUUCUCAAAGUAUAUCAUCCUACCAUGAUCUAAGCAAUACCAUAAUAUUUCUUGGUAGUCACAAUUUCAAGUUAAUCUAAGUAAAAAUGCAUGGCCCCUUUGGGUUGUUAUUUGUUAGGAGUUUUUUUGUAGCAAAAUAUAUUGCAAUAAUUUGAUGUAUGUGAGAUAGAAAAGGUGAUUGGAAAAUGUGUUCACGAAAAAUGUAAAAUUUUUUUUGGUAAAAAUCACAAUUUAAAUUAUGUUCUUGUUCCUGUAUGAGAUGAAAAAUACCUUUUACAUCAAUAGAUGAUAAAUGGACUAAUAUUUUUGGUUAAAACGGAACCUAUAUCUAUAUGUAUUGCAGAAGAGGUUUUUAUUAGAGACUCUCUCAGUUACACAUGUUUGAUAGGCCAACGACCCAGAAAAGCUCCAGCUGCAUGGAAGACACGAUGCAGCAAACGUGUCAUCCCAUGGUAGUCCAACCGCCAUUAAAGCCAUGCAAACGGUCACCCCUUCUAUAGGAUGAAGCAUCUAUAACAACAUUACUCGUUCACUUAUCCAAGAAAGAAUACACAGACACAUAGUGACGGCGAAAGAGGGAAAGAAAAAAUGCAUUCAGUCAAAGAGAAGGUUAGCAAUGCAGCAGCUGCAGCCCAAGAGAAGGUUGAGAUCAUGAUAGCCAAAGGUGAAGAGAAGGUGCUUAGGUUUUCUUAUGUUCUUAAUAUCCCAGCAUUUAUUUUAUAAAAUCAAAGACUGGACAGUAUCACUUUUGUAAUGUUUUAGGAAUCAAGUGGUAACAUAUCAAAAUUCUGGUUGGAUUUUUCAGGCGGAGAAAGCUGCAGCAAGGACAGAGGCAGAAAAGGUGAUAGCCAAGGAGGGAAGGAAAGUUAAGGAAGCUGAAGCAAAGAUGAAGCUGCACGAAACCAAAGCAGAGAACGCAGCAGAAAAGCUAAAGCAUUCUCGCCCUGUUUAUGGUCACCACGACCCAGUGGUUGGAGGAGGUCAAGGGCAUCAUGCCCCUGUUGGGACUGCAGCCAACCCAACAACUGUGGUUCCAACUGCUGCUUACCCUGCGGGGAGCCAUCCUCCCGGCCACCAUCAUACCAAACACGUCUAGCGUUUCCACAGUCAGUGUAUGUAUGGGUGCUUGUCCAGCUGCUUUCUGCCUGUAAUUGACUGCAAGUUUAUGUUCGUUUAAAUUCCGGAUUGGAGUAGGCAAGUUUCCUUGUACAAUUUAGAAAUCAACAAGCAAGAAGCGCCGGUCUAGUGUACUUCCAGAAUAAUUGGAAUCUGAUGGGGAUUACUCAUUGAUACAGUGUUAUUACACAAUUCUGACAAAUCUCUCUUUCAUAUUCUAGGCAAAACCACAGAAUAAAGCACCGUCUUCAACAUAUAUAAUUUGUGAGAGAGAGUUCAUGAAUGACAGAAUGAUUGUAUACAUUAACAUUCAAAAAGCACCAAUUUCGAGUUCCUCAAGUUAAUUUUACAAUUUGUUAAUAAUAACAAGAAAAAGAACACGAAAGUUCAUGUUCUAGGAGUCCAGUAAACACGCUAGAUGGACUAACCAAUGACCAAUUUGUGAUCUAGUAAAUCCCGGCAGGGGAACCACCUCAAAGAAGAUCAAUUACACCCACUCCAGCCUACCUUGGUAUUCCACACCAAAUUGAAUUGUACCGUUGAGACAUCUUGCUUGGUUGCUCAGCUUCACCGGCCUGGUGCUGUAUUUGGCUUGAAACCUCGGCAAUGACUUGUGAUGCUCUUUAUCUAUUGCAUAUUUCUCUGGGGGAAUCUCAUCAAGGAACUCAUCUGCAACAUCACCAUCUUCAUCCAUCCUAAGACGCUUGGCAUACCAUCUAAAUCCCUGAAACGUUAAAACAAGGAUCGUUUAAUACAGACUUUUGUUUAUCAUGAAAGAAUAGUUAGCUAAACUUCAGAAUUUGCACGAGUGAAGCAGAAUACACAGAGACUAAAUGUCUCGGCUAAGACCAAAACUACUAUGCCCCCAUAGAUCUUCCCUAAGCUGCCCAAUAAGGGCAAAGUUUGCAGGCAGCUGGUCAAAUAACCAUUAUUAAAGCACGAGUUGCCUCAUGAAACUGCUAAGUCGGCCAUCAUAUUUGUUACCACCUCUCAAUACAGCAAACUAUCCCAGAUCCAUUAAACCAACUUUAAAUUUCAAAUGAGAUAUCUUGCAAACUGCCCCACGUCAAUUCAAUGCUACAACAAAAUUAGCAUAGGAUUCAGCUUAUAUUCAUGCCAGCUCAACAUGGACUCUGAUUGAUACGAACUGUAUAGAGGAUUAAUGAGGACUCAAGACAAAGACAGAAUACCAUGAUGCCCAGUUGAAACAUGAUCCAGUAUACAUUUGACAAUGGCUACAAACAAACCUAAUCAGAUUCUUAUCAAGACAAACUGGGCAAAGUGGCAACUUCAUAAUUAAGUUUUUACUUGAGUGUUCAACAACAAAAAGUUCAGAAGUCUACAUAACCAUUAAGGUUUACCCGACCGUUGCCAGAGACUGACAAACAGACAGCAGUGGAAAUCAAAGCAUAGAAUAGAGAACCUGUAAAAGACAAACAUAGGGAUUUAGCAAGCAUCACAGACAAUAUAAAAACCAGACAGCGUUCUCGGACAACAGGAACUGAUUACAUGUUUGCGAUAUGGAUUGCGUUAGCCAUAACAGGACCCAGAAGACCAAAUUAAACAAUGUCACAAGCUUAGCAAGUGCAAAAAGGAUUUUUAACACAUACAGGAAGGGAGAAAUGUCAGGGGCUAAGCAAGCUAUAUGUCAUGAACUCUUGCUGUUUAAUCAUCAAUAAUCCAACCUUUCUCCCGUUGAGGUACUUUGGUCCCAUUUGUUAUUGAGUUUGCCCGUGUAUGCCAAAUUUUGACGGCCACAAUUACCAGAUUAUAAGGUUCUAAAUUAAUUAUACUUAUCACUCAAAUAACUAAAUUUGAAAAGGCUCAUUUUCUCUUACUGUACAAUGAAACAGGAAAUAUGGUCAACUGCACACAAUCACAUCAGAUGCAACCAAAAAAUUUUCCUUAAAAACAUUGGAUUUCACUUAGGAAGCGAGUAGAAGACUGGGGAGGAAAAAAGAAAACAAGCAAAAGCAAAUUUAAAGACAACAUAAAGGAAUUCUUACAAGUUGACGACACUGUUACAAAUUAUGGAAAUACAGAUGAUGAAGAAUUAAGACAGAGAAAGACUUUUCUGAAUUAUAGAAGAAUGAAUUUCCUAGAUGUAGUAAUUGCACAUGAACAACCUAUGUUUCUGGCUGACAUAAGUCGAGUACACCACUCAGUUUGCAUUACACCAGGAUCGUGCAAUAUCAGUGGCAUGCUAAGCUACAAUUAACAUGCUUAAAAAGAAGUGUCUUAGCUUGUUCAUCAGCAUGCCAGCAUCAUAAAAAAUUAUUCCUUCCAUUAAUGACAUAAACAUUUAAAAAAAAAAUGCUUCUUUACACUGAUUUUUUAAAAUUGAGCUCCAGAAAUAUCUAGCGCAGCAUGAAAAAUCAAAACUUUUCUCCCUUGUGAUGAACCAUUUGUUCUUUCUUUACUUCUAACAAUUGGCAUGUACACUCAUAUUGCCAACAGCACGAUGCAUUACCACUUAUCGAUGUACCUAGGCUUACAAUUACAACUAUGCAACCUGACACCAGCUGAGUAACAUCGGAGAGUUCAAGCUUGCCACGGUCCUUAAAUAGGAGAUAAGCUAACAGAAAAUGAUCUAGUUGACAGAAUAUGAGUUCUGCUCAUCGUGAUACACUCCUCCAGAAAUCGUCAAUUUCCAUCAACAUAAGCUAACAGCUACGGAUUCAACUGCUGCCCACUUCCCUAUAGCUCACAAGUCACAACCUUUAUAUUAAACUACUUGCCUCAAUCAGAACAAGAUAUCUGCUUACUAUUCCGCACUUAUCAUUACCCCAAAAUCAAUACGUUGACCAUCCAUUCACUAAAACAUGUAAAUCAAUCACAAUUAUUCCACAAUAAUCGCAUACUUUUAUCUGAGCACUGCUCACUACAACACAGACUAAAAAUCGUUCAAAACCAUGAUCAACAGCAAUAAACUCAUAAUUCGAGUAUUAAAUCCAUGCUAGUUCAACUAAAUUUUGCAACUUUAAACGCUCAGUAUCGCUAAUUUCACAUAUUACAACACAACUCGUCAAUAAUUUCAAUCAAAAUUGGAAUAAAAGUAAAAUUUGGUGAAAGAUUUUAACCUGAACGCCGCCAUUGCCGGAGGAGCAGGGGACGAGAACAGGACCGGAUAGAGGUCUAUCGACGGCGACUUGGACGGGGACACUGAAGCCUUUACGUUGGGGAUGCUGAGCGGCUGCGGAAGUGGAGACGGCGUCGUUCUCAUCCUCUUCUUUCAAUUCUUCUGCUUCAUCUUUGGCGAUCCCUAAAAACCCAGCUAGUCUUCUGAAUAAACCCAUCGGCCCUUGCUUGUGUAUAAUUUUAUCAUGCGGGAAGAUAAGAGUUCCUAUACGAAUGGGUUAGACGGAUGGAGAGAGAAUACGGGUGCGCCGGCGGCGAAGGAGCGAAGUGGAAUUUUGGUGAAAGCAAGAAGGGCAGUUCGGGAAUAUUUUCCUGGGAAUGACGACGAUGUCGAGAGCUACAAGGACGAGGAAAGACUUUAGACAGGGAGAGAAAUAAGAGAGACUCGGCCAAUUGGAUUGCUCGAGUUUGAGCUUUGAAGGCCCAAUAGAAUAAAGUACUCUCUUUUUUUCUUUUUUCUUUUUUUUUUGUUGUGUUUAUUUAUGUCUACAGUCUAUAUGCAUUCGGAAUUGCAUCUCUCAAUUUUUUUUCAAUGUCCAAAUGGACUUGCAAAUCUCCAUUGGGAUUGGAUUUCCUUCUUUUAAUAUAAAAUUUGGUAGAAUUUUGACUUAAUUAUGUGAAAAUACAUGACUCUUGAACAAUUUUACUACUCAUUAAUCAAAGUGUGAGCAUGUUUGUUUGGAUUGAGGCUUAUUUGCCAAAAUUUAUUUGCUUACAUCAUCAUUACAAUUUUCAACACAUCUUUUUAUCUUUCCAAUUAUCUUUUUAUCUCACAUACAUCACAUCACAAAAAGUGCUACAAUAAAAAUAUCUCAAAUAAUUUACAAUCCAAACAGAGCCACGUGCAAACCGCUACCAUAUAUAGAGCCAAUAGACAUAUUUCGCACAAAUGUCAUCACUUGUUUCCUGAAAGUGAGAAUUUUGAUUCUUGUUCACCAUACGCUAUUCAGGAUUUGUUUGGAUUGUAAAUUAUUUGGGAUAUUUUUACUGUAACACUUUUUGUGAUGUGAUGUAUGUGAGAUAAAAGGGUAAUCAAAAAGAUAAAAAGGUGUAUUAAAAAUUGUAAUGAUGAUGUAAGCAAAUAAAAUUGGAGAAAUAAUGCUCAAUCCAAAGAUUUGGUGGAAAAGAUUCUGAUAAGAUUCAGAAGUAGCAUUUGUGCACUUGUAAAAUAUUAUAUUUGAAGAAUCGAUAAAGGGAAAUUAGUGAACAAAGAGUAAUUAAGUUCCUUUUACUUGAGGAAGGAUUGAAUUAGAUGGUCACGUAAAGAAAAUCGUAAUAAGAAGUCAUAAAUUCCUGGUCCGCGCUACGCGAGCAUUCUGCAAACCUGCUCGUGCAGGGAUGAUUUCUAAAAUUGCACAUCCCGACGAGAAAAGGGAAAUUAUCAAGACCUGACACGUACAUUUACAUGCAUUCAUACUUGCAAACAAGAAUUUGACUGAGCACUAUUUUCCAAACAAGCGUAACCUUGACGAGCACCAUCACAAACACACAGCUAGUUCAACGUAGCAUUGGAGGAACAUCCCCGAGAACUUGGGUCAUUUAUCAGAUUCAAUGAACUCAUUUUGAACAAUAAAUUGAUAACACAUGCAGAACUAACAAUCAUUGUGUCAGGAAAAAUGGCAUCUGAUCUAUGUAUAUAAAUGACUUACAAAUUACAUGCUGCUUCAGAGUCAAAACUCUUCCAUCUCUCUCUCUCUCUCUCUUUACGCGAAAAGUAUCUCUCAAAUUAUACACGACACAAACAUGAGACUGAAGCGUGUGGGGAGAACGGAUCCAUCAGUAGCAUCUUAUGCAAAUCUUCCAAUUCUGAAAGCCAUGCUUGUCUGAAUAAUUUUCC
RNAcentral lists this long non-coding RNA (28443 nucleotides) under Coffea arabica (coffee). Its description in RNAcentral is "long non-coding RNA (CARA_LNC005841)". The record is from RNAcentral. Lineage: Eukaryota; Viridiplantae; Streptophyta; Magnoliopsida; Gentianales; Rubiaceae.